GGCGGAGUGGGGGGCUGCCUAUACUGCAGUCGAGCGAACAGAUAAGGAACUUGCUCCUUUGACGUUAGCGGCGGACGGGUGAGUAACACGUGGGUAACCUACCUAUAAGACUGGAAUAACUCCGGGAAACCGGGGCUAAUGCUGGAUAAUAUUUAGAACCGCAUGGUUCUAAAGUGAAAGAUGGUUUUGCUAUCACUUAUAGAUGGACCCGCGCCGUAUUAGCUAGUUGGUGGGGUAAUGGCUUACCAAGGCAACGAUACGUAGCCGACCUGAAAGGGUGAUCGGCCACACUGGAACUGAGACACGGUCCAGACUCCUACGGGAGGCAGCAGUAGGGAAUCUUCCGCAAUGGGCGAAAGCCUGACGGAGCAACGCCGCGUGAGUGAUGAAGGUCUUCGGAUCGUAAAACUCUGUUAUUAGGGAAGAACAAAUGUGUAAGUAACUGUGCACGUCUUGACGGUACCUAAUCAGAAAGCCACGGCUAACUACGUGCCAGCAGCCGCGGUAAUACGUAGGUGGCAAGCGUUAUCCGGAAUUAUUGGGCGUAAAGCGCGCGUAGGCGGUUUCUUAAGUCUGAUGUGACAGCCCACGGCUCACCGUGGAGGGUCAUUGGAAACUGGUAAACUUGAGUGCAGAAGAGGAAAGUGGAAUUCCAUGUGUAGCGGUGAAAUGCGCAGAGAUAUGGAGGAACACCAGUGGCGAAGGCGACUUUCUGGUCUGUAACUGACGCUGAUGUGCGAAAGCGUGGGGAUCAAACAGGAUUAGAUACCCUGGUAGUCCACGCCGUAAACGAUGAGUGCUAAGUGUUAGGGGGUUUCCGCCCCUUAGUGCUGCAGCUAACGCAUUAAGCACUCCGCCUGGGGAGUACGACCGCAAGGUUGAAACUCAAAGGAAUUGACGGGGACCCGCACAAGCGGUGGAGCAUGUGGUUUAAUUUGAAGCAACGCGAAGAACCUUACCAAAUCUUGACAUCCUUUGACAACUCUAGAGAUAGAGUCUUCCCCUUCGGGGGACAAAGUGACAGGUGGUGCAUGGUUGUCGUCAGCUCGUGUCGUGAGAUGUUGGGUUAAGUCCCGCAACGAGCGCAACCCUUAAGCUUAGUUGCCAGCAUUAAGUUGGGCACUCUAAGUUGACUGCCGGUGACAAACCGGAGGAAGGUGGGGAUGACGUCAAAUCAUCAUGCCCCUUAUGAUUUGGGCUACACACGUGCUACAAUGGACAAUACAAAGGGCAGCUAAACCGCGAGGUCAUGCAAAUCCCAUAAAGUUGUUCUCAGUUCGGAUUGUAGUCUGCAACUCGACUACAUGAAGCUGGAAUCGCUAGUAAUCGUAGAUCAGCAUGCUACGGUGAAUACGUUCCCGGGUCUUGUACACACCGCCCGUCACACCACGAGAGUCUGUAACACCCGAAGCCGGUUGAGUAACCAUUUAUGAGCUAGCCGUCGUAAAAUGGGAUCCUAUUGCGCUCCU
Molecule: ribosomal RNA, 1469 nt
Filed under: Staphylococcus nepalensis
Lineage: Bacteria; Bacillati; Bacillota; Bacilli; Caryophanales; Staphylococcaceae
Description: bacterial SSU rRNA
Rfam family: Bacterial small subunit ribosomal RNA
Source: RNAcentral